GAGCGCCCAUGAUGCCUAGCACUGGGCUCUGAUCUCCCAUGAGGAUACCGUGCCCCCCAGGACCUUGACAUCCGGGGGUCUGUGGGGCCC
This is a small nucleolar RNA of Camelus dromedarius (Arabian camel), 90 nucleotides long. NCBI's taxonomy places the organism in Eukaryota, Metazoa, Chordata, Mammalia, Artiodactyla, Camelidae. The record is from Ensembl.